AAUAGAUACCCCGAUAGUCCACGCUGUAAACGAUGAGAACUAGCCGUUGGGCACAAUUGAGUGUUUAGUGGCGCAGCUAACGCGAUAAGUUCUCCGCCUGGGGAGUACGGCCGCAAGGUUAAAACUCAAAUGAAUUGACGGGGGCCCGCACAAGCGGUGGAGCAUGUGGUUUAAUUCGAUGCAACGCGAAGAACCUUACCUGGUCUUGACAUGUCGGGAACCCUUGAGAGAUCGAGGGGUGCCUUCGGGAACCCGAGCACAGGUGCUGCAUGGCUGUCGUCAGCUCGUGUCGUGAGAUGUUGGGUUAAGUCCCGUAACGAGCGCAACCCUUGUCCCUAGUUGCCAGCGUUAAGUCGGGAACUCUAGGGAGACUGCCGGUGAUAAACCGGAGGAAGGUGGGGAUGACGUCAAGUCAUCAUGGCCCCUUAUGACCAGGGCUACACACGUGCUACAAUGGUCGGUACAGAGGGUAGCCAAGCCGUGAGGCGGAGCCAAUCUCACAAAGCCGAUCGUAGUCCGGAUUGCAGUCUG
RNAcentral lists this ribosomal RNA (531 nucleotides) under uncultured bacterium. Its description in RNAcentral is "bacterial SSU rRNA". It matches the Rfam family "Bacterial small subunit ribosomal RNA", at positions 777 to 1307 of the family's 1533-position model. The record is from RNAcentral.